UAAAAUGAUAUAUAAUAAGUGUGGGUGCAUUUACUAUGAAAGAGGUGUAUUACGGUUGGACAGACAUGUAGCGCAAAUGCCAGGUUUUGUUUACAUUUUGUUUUGUUCACAAUGUGUACAUUUGGCUCCGUCCUUAAGGGGUUAAUACAAUGUUGCUGUGUAGAGUUAAAGUUUUAAACAAAACAUAUUAGGACUUCAUAUUAGGGGAUUCCAGGAUAUGGAACUGAAACAGGGAGAUUCAGAUCCCAAAGAUAGAUAGUUGGUAAGUAUGGAGCUGCAGCAUCAUAAGGCUUCCAAUGGUUCUCUUAUAAUACAUUAGGCAGAGUCUCCCAAACAUUUUUUAUAAAGCACAUUAAUGAAAAAUAAUAUAUACAAGGCUGCUCUAAAAUUAAUUUCACCUCAAAUAUGCUUCAAUUAUCGUUUUAUACAACUUAUGUUAUUAUUUUUUGCAUUAGUAAUUAUAUGUUAUUAUGCACCAACAUGAUUAGCUCAUGAGAUUGCUUUCCUUUUCAGGAUCUCAAAAACCUGUUAACUUGAAAGAACUCACAAGAACUCUAAAG
Molecule: non-coding RNA, 560 nt
Organism: Pelobates cultripes (western spadefoot toad)
Lineage: Eukaryota; Metazoa; Chordata; Amphibia; Anura; Pelobatidae
Source: the annotation of a GenBank genome assembly